This 1280-nucleotide long non-coding RNA is filed under the name Mus pahari (shrew mouse). Its description in RNAcentral is "lncRNA (MGP_PahariEiJ_G0012310.1)". The record is from RNAcentral. Lineage: Eukaryota; Metazoa; Chordata; Mammalia; Rodentia; Muridae.
GAUGACAAGCAGCUUUGACUUCCUUCUGUUUUCAUGUUGAACAGCAGCCGCUGCUAGAGCCUGCUAUGUCUGAGACGAUCCCCACUCAUCACUGUCUCUCUUAGGUGAGAGGAAACGCCACACACACCAUAGAAGAGUAUGAAGAAAAGGUGGAGGAAGCUGGAACUAAGUUCAAUGCAGUUCAACAGCUAUGAGAAGCAUGCCACUGUGGGAUGUUCAGAGUGGAGGAGGCUACACAUGUGCAGGUGCCGCUCUGGAAACAUCUGGGCUGUGAAGGUGAACACUGCAGGAGAGGGGCAGUAGAUAUACCACAUGGGUGCUGAGAAUUGAACCUGGGUCAUUUGGAGGAGCAGCUGCUAAUCUCCAAAUUGCCAAGCCAUCUCUCCUGUCCCUGUACACUGCUUCUGUAGCCUAAUAUUCUUUGUUUGUUUUAAGGCCGAGUCUCAUGUAGGCCUGGAUGACCUCACCCUGUCUAUGUAGAUGAGGAUGACCUUAAAUUCCUGAUCCACCUGCCUCCACCUCACAAGUGCUGGGACUACAAGUGAGCUAUUGUAUCUGGUGUUGCAAACACUUUUCUAUAUUAAUCUGCCUUAAACAUGACUUUAUGUUAGUCUUUAAGUACUAUAGUUGAGUGUUAACUGUUGGAAAUCAAAUGUGCAUCCAACAUUUUCAAUUAUAAAUUACACUUGAGUGAACAUUUUUAUAAGGAAACCCACUGUGCAUACCAUGAAUGUUACUUCGGCUAGAUUCUUAAAAGUGAAACAGUGAGCCAAGGGGGAUGAACACUUUCAGGCUCCGGUACAUUUUGCUUCCUUGCUUUUGGUAUAAUAAAUUCACCCUCCCCUCCCUCCCCUGGCACAGAAGGUGAUGGUCGCCGCUGCCUUGUACCCUAACAUACCAUAGCUCUACUCUUAACUCUCAACAUUCUGUUUGCUCUUUUUUUUUUUUUUUUAAAUUUUUUUAAAUUUCAAGAUACUAUACAAGAAAGUUUCAGUCAAAGAUUAAUUUGGAGAUAUAAACAAAGAUUAUGUUCGCUCCUUUCUCUGUUGUAUAUAAGAGACUAAGGAAAGAUCCUGCACUUGAGAUUUUACAAAUCACAAUAUAUAGCAAGACACAGAGGAAUGGGAUCCCUCAUUCAGUGCUUGCAUGAAUGAAAAAAACUGGUGUAAAAACUAGAGUGGUAGUUUCUAAAAAGAAAUUAAUAAUAAUACAAAAUUAUCAUAGAUUCAGAAAUUCCAUUCAUUCGUAUCAAGUAAGAGAAAUAAAAAUGUGCACACAAA